AUGAAUGCAUAGGAGGGAGGAGCUGCAGAACUGAGUAACCUUGAAAAUAACUGCAAACUUUAAGACUAAAGGCAAAAGUCAUUGUGAAUUUGCAUUUUAAUUUAUUCCCUGCUUGUUUCUUACACAAUUAUGGCUUUACAAUUUUUUAAAUUGCUAUGCAUACAGAUUGACAUUGGACAAAUGAGUAAACUAUAAACAGAAGAAAGAAAUGUGCCAAAGAACUUCUCAUGGUAUUCCUGCUGCUUUUGUGGACUGGAACUGAUGGAUAGAGCCUUGGGGUUUCUUCUGGAUCAAACUGACACUCCUGAGUCAUAAAUGGUGUUUUCAAGCGGAUUGAGCUGCAGCUGCUGAUUUGUGUGAACCGAACUGUUAAUAUCCUGAUGACAAAGAUUGGAAUUACCCCAAACAACUAUUUCUAAAUGGAUCCACAUCUCCCAUUUACCUUAUUAAUCUUUUCUUUCCACUAUCUCUGGUGGACAGUGGGCUAAAAGAGCAGUUAAAGAAUUUAAGACUCCCUUAUUAAAGUAGGUUUUUAAAAGUCUAAACCUACAGAAAUUGCCAAAUAACUCAUUAAUUAUAACUAUUUCUAGAACAAAUGGAAGAAGAAUAAAAGGGAGAAAACAAUUUACCCCAAAACUUUGAAAUGCACAAUACAACGGAAAUAAUCUUCUAUUUUAUCUCUACUAUUACUACCAACAAUGGGCUGAUGGUAAUAGAAGAAAGUUUUCAAAGUUUCAGAAAACAUGUACCCUGUCUUGCAUUCUAUACAUAGACAAAGAAUAGGUUAAAAUCAAAGCAAAAUACUUUCUGAUAGACAGGAUUUAAAAGUGAAUCUCUUAAAACUUCUGCCUCAAUAAGAUACAGCAUGAAGACACCAACCAUAGGAAAGGAGUUACUCUAGUCUUUUUCAGAUCACUGGAAUGAAAAAAACUAAGAACACUGCUUUACAAAUAAAUGGUACUUGGUUUUGUUGUU
This 975-nucleotide long non-coding RNA is filed under the name Mus musculus (house mouse). RNAcentral's name for it is "predicted gene, 47778". Lineage: Eukaryota; Metazoa; Chordata; Mammalia; Rodentia; Muridae. The record is from RNAcentral.